This 219-nucleotide long non-coding RNA is filed under the name Populus trichocarpa (black cottonwood). Its description in RNAcentral is "long non-coding RNA (PTRI_LNC003044)". The record is from RNAcentral. Lineage: Eukaryota; Viridiplantae; Streptophyta; Magnoliopsida; Malpighiales; Salicaceae.
GUACAGAAGGAUUCGAAGCAGAAAGAAUUCCCUUUUCAGAAUAAGACUGAAGACGUAUUUCUUCAGCCAAUAACUCACUGACAACAGAGUCAACAGAAGGCAGUGGAGAACGAUGCAGAAUUGAACCUCUAAGUCCUUCGAAAUCACUGCGAAGUGCUGUUAAAAAUUGUACCAAUCGUUGCUGCUCUCUACGUUCAAUAUAAGCACCACAUGCUUUUA